UCACCGGACGGCCGGUGGAUCUGGUGGUUCUCGGACACCGACGGGGACGAGUUCGGCGUCUGGAUGCGGCAGCCGUUCGAGGGCGGCGCCGAUGAGCC
This 98-nucleotide transfer RNA is filed under the name Streptomyces hygroscopicus. RNAcentral's name for it is "tRNA-Gly". The record is from RNAcentral. Lineage: Bacteria; Bacillati; Actinomycetota; Actinomycetes; Kitasatosporales; Streptomycetaceae.